This 255-nucleotide unclassified non-coding RNA is filed under the name Hevea brasiliensis (rubber tree). Lineage: Eukaryota; Viridiplantae; Streptophyta; Magnoliopsida; Malpighiales; Euphorbiaceae. The record is from RNAcentral.
GAAGAAUCCCAUGAUUAUGAGAAACUCAUGUGAUUGAUUAGCAAUAGUCUAUAAGUUGAUUGAUUCUUGUAUAAAUGAGUGAUUUAUGAUUUGUUGAUUGUUUGCCAUAUAAAUCUUGUAUCUUUCAUUAUAAAUUUGGAUUUGUGUAUUAUGUUACACACACAAACACACAAGUGAAUGAAAUGUAGUCCUUUUAAGGUUUUACAUCCAUGGAUAUAGGCUCCCUGUAGUCGAACCACAUAAAUCAUUCUGUUG